Molecule: ribosomal RNA, 789 nt
Filed under: uncultured Preussia
Lineage: Eukaryota; Fungi; Ascomycota; Dothideomycetes; Pleosporales; Sporormiaceae
Description: eukaryotic LSU rRNA
Rfam family: Eukaryotic large subunit ribosomal RNA
Source: RNAcentral
GCGCAGGAAAAGAAACCAACAGGGAUUGCCCUAGUAACGGCGAGUGAAGCGGCAACAGCUCAAAUUUGAAAUCUGGCCCUUUCAGGGUCCGAGUUGUAAUUUGUAGAGGGUGCUUUGUCGUUGGCUGUGGUCUAAGUUCCUUGGAACAGGACGUCGCAGAGGGUGAGAAUCCCGUAUGUGGCCGCCAGUCUUCGCCGUGUAAAGCCCCUUCGACGAGUCGAGUUGUUUGGGAAUGCAGCUCUAAAUGGGAGGUAAAUUUCUUCUAAAGCUAAAUAUUGGCCAGAGACCGAUAGCGCACAAGUAGAGUGAUCGAAAGAUGAAAAGCACUUUGGAAAGAGAGUCAAAAAGCACGUGAAAUUGUUGAAAGGGAUUCGCUUGCAGCCAGACUUGCCUGUAGUUGCUCAUCCGGGCUUUUGCCCGGUGCAUUCUUCUAUGGGCGGGCCAGCAUCCUUCAGACCAGCGGUUGGAUGAUGUUGUUGGAUGUCCCUUCUUCGAGGAAGGAUUAUGCUUCCGGCGGGAUAAAACAGGCGGGAUGUAGUGCAUGCAUCCGCUAGGAGACGUGCUGUUUGAAGAAAUCGGCCCGUCUUGAAACACGGACCACGGAGUCUAACAUCUAUGCGAGUGUUGAGUGGCAAGAUUAGAAUGUAGAGCUGUUGACCUUCGCUCGCCGCUACUAGGGCAACCCUGUAGGUUUCUUGACGUGCGCUGAAUCACUAGAGAUCCCGGCUACAGAGCUCGAAUCUUGAUCGUGCUCAUAGUUUAUCCUGUGUGAAUGGAACCCCCUCAGGA